Molecule: ribosomal RNA, 477 nt
Filed under: uncultured bacterium
Lineage: Bacteria
Description: partial 16S ribosomal RNA
Rfam family: Bacterial small subunit ribosomal RNA
Source: RNAcentral
GAUUAACGCUGGCGGCGUGCAUAACACAUGCAAGUCGAACGAUGGAACUUAGUAGACUUCUUCGGAAAGACACUAAGCGGAUUAGUGGCGAACGGGUGAGUAACGCGUGAGUAACCUGCCUUACACAAGGGGAUAGCCUUUGGAAACGAAGAAUAAUACCCUAUAAAACCAUAAAAGCACAUGCUAGAAUGGUCAAAGUGAUAGCGGUGUAAGAUGGACUUGCGUCUGAUUAGCUAGUUGGUGAGAUAAAAGCUCACCAAGGCAACGAUCAGUAGCCGGCUUGAGAGAGUGUACGGCCACAUUGGGACUGAGACACGGCCCAGACUCCUACGGGAGGCAGCAGUGGGGAAUUUUGCACAAUGGGGGAAACCCUGAUGCAGCGACGCCGCGUGAUUGAGAAGGCCUUCGGGUUGUAAAAAUCUUUUGUAUAGGAAGAAAAUGACAGUACUAUACGAAUAAGGUCCGGCUAAUUACGUG